UACCUGAGAAGUGAUUGAAUAGCCUCAUAUUAAUUCUACUUUCAUAUUAUAAUCAACAAACCAAAAACAGAAUGUAAGGGCUAUGCUUAAGAUACCAAUUAGCUUAUCAUCUACCAGACUAAUCAUUUUUAUAUUUUAGAAUGUUUAGUGUUUUUGAAUCAAUAUGGAAUGUAUGAAUAGUGGUGGUUUUCAUUCUUUUUUUUUUUUUUUUUGAGAUGGAGUUUUGUUCUUGUUGCUCAGGCUGGAGUGCAAUGGCAUGAUCUCGCUCUCUGCAACCUCUGCCUGCCACCACACCUGGGUACUUUUUUUGUAUUUUUAGUAGAGACGGGGUUUCACCACGUUGGCCAGGCUGGUCUCGAACUCAGGUGUUCUGCCUGCCUUGGCCUCUCGAAGUGCUGGGAUUACAGGCGUGAGCCACGGCGCUGAGCUGAGUUCUGAUGAAUUCUGAUAAACCUCCCUCUCCUAAUAUGAGAAGUGAGUGUGUAAUGGCACCUACUUCAUGAAGAUGGUGAGAGGAUUAAAUGAAAUAUGUGUACAGUCUUACCUAGUCAGCACACAAUAAAUGAUAGCUGUUUUCAGUUUACAGUUGUUUUGGUUUCCUAGGGCUGCCAUAACAAUGUGCUGCACACCAGGUGCUUAAACAACAGAUUUUUGUUUUCCUACCAUUCUGGAAGCCAGAAGUUCAAGAUCAAGGUUCCAGCAGGGUUGGUUUCUUCUGAGGCCUCUUUCCUUGGCUUUAGAUGGCUGUCUUCUUGCUUACCCUCAUGUGGUCUUUCUUUUAUGCAUUUUCUGAUACUUAAUCCCUCCCCUUAUAAGGACACCAGUGAUACCAGAUUAUGAUCCACUCUAAUGGCCUCCUUUUAACAUAAUUACCUCUUUCAUUCUGAGCUACCGACUCAGAAUGAAAUGUAUGAAUUUUGAGGGGAGGGGAACCCAUUUUGACCCAUAACAAUGGUCAACAAUAAAGUUUUGUAGAAUGGCAAAACAUGGCUAUGGAAAACUACUCAUCUCUUUAGCACUCAUUUUACAAAAGAUCAAGCUGAUAACCAAGAGGUAAAGUGUUUAGCCCAACUACACGGAUUAAUUUGUUCUGAACAAAGAAUUUAGGCCAUAAAAGCCUGAUCUCUUUUCAGAAAAAUUUAAAGCAUCAAAUACUUAAUAGUUACUUAAAUCAACAUUUUAGCUCGUAUUUUUCUGAAAAUCUAUUGAGAAUAUUUAUUUCUCCUCAACCUUAAAAGUCCUUUAAUUUUUUAUUAAAAGUUAAUUUGAUGAAAAUGUCUGCUUACCUUGAUUCUACCUAAUUUUUAUGUCCUAAUGAUCCAAUAUCUUGCAGGCCAUCUGGCCCUGAUGAUUUUUGUAAGUUCUCUGGUACAAAAAGUCACACAAUAUAGCUAAAAUAGUAUCGACUCAACGCUUGUUAGCUCUUCUGCAAAUAAGCUGUGUUAUUUAGGCAACUGUCUUCACCUUUGUUGGCCUCAGUCUGUUUACCUGCAUCUCAAUGUAGUUCUGCAAGGCUGAGUCUGUGUUUCUGGCCCUGCCUAUGCCGCUGAUGGGCCUGCCAGGAUUCUCUUCACUUGGUUUCUGCCCUUCAGUUCAGUUUCCUUAUCUGCGAAGUCAGCUUUAGGCUUUGUUCGUUUCAUGGUGUGUGUCUGGAUUCCAAUGGUGAUGACGGAUGUCCCCGAAAGUAAACUGGAUCAGACACAUAUGAAGGGCCAAGCACAUUGCAGACAUCAUCAUCCCUGCUCUCACAAUGCCCCUCUGACCUCAGGGUGUCUGCAGAGCCCACUGCGGCUCCCUUGAACUGAGACCAAGGAGGCGCCGCUCAUGACCCUUGCUUUGGAAACUUCCACUGUUUCUUUCCUCUCCCACCCCCUAACCAUGAAUCUGAUAAACGGUCCAUGGUCCUUUGAUAACAGGUGUUGGUGGUUAACAUCUGACUCUAGUCAGACGUCUGCAUUUUAACAGAGGCACUUAUGAGAAUG
This 1982-nucleotide long non-coding RNA is filed under the name Homo sapiens (human). Its description in RNAcentral is "HSALNT0247916". Lineage: Eukaryota; Metazoa; Chordata; Mammalia; Primates; Hominidae. The record is from RNAcentral.